CAGGUGGACUACUCUGGAUCCUGGUUAUAACAGGUGGACUACUCUGGAUCCUGGUUAUAACAGGUGGACUACUCUGGAUCCUGGUUAUAACAGGUGGACAUAGACUACUCUGGAUCCUGGUUAUAACAGGUGGACUACUCUGGAUCCUGGUUAUAACAGGUGGACAUAGACUACUCUGGAUCCUGGUUAUAACAGGUGGACAUAGACGACUCUGGAUCCUGGUUAUAACAGGUGGACAUAGACUACUCUGGAUCCUGGUUAUAACAGGUGGACAUAGACUACUCUGGAUCCUGGUUAUAACAGGUGGACUACUCUGGAUCCUGGUUAUAACAGGUGGACUACUCUGGAUCCUGGUUAUAACAGGUGGACUACUCUGGAUCCUGGUUAUAACAGGUGGACUACUCUGGAUCCUGGUUAUAACAGGUGGACAUAGACUACUCUGGAUCCUGGUUAUAACAGGUGGACUACUCUGGAUCCUGGUUAUAACAGGUGGACAUAGACUACUCUGGAUCCUGGUUAUAACAGGUGGACAUAGACUACUCUGGAUCCUGGUUAUAACAGGUGGACAUAGACGACUCUGGAUCCUGGUUAU
Molecule: long non-coding RNA, 592 nt
Organism: Oncorhynchus keta (chum salmon)
Lineage: Eukaryota; Metazoa; Chordata; Actinopteri; Salmoniformes; Salmonidae
Exons: 5
Source: RefSeq, a predicted model, not a curated record